Molecule: long non-coding RNA, 776 nt
Organism: Armigeres subalbatus
Lineage: Eukaryota; Metazoa; Arthropoda; Insecta; Diptera; Culicidae
Exons: 2
Source: RefSeq, a predicted model, not a curated record
UUUCCCCCUAGUUUGCAAAUAACAAAGCGUUUCAAAUCUAACUUCUUUAAAUAAUAGUGCUAGUAAUAGUUCGGAGCAGCAAGUGUUUCUUUCGCUCCUAUGUUAAUACCAGCCGUGAUCAACACACCUUUCGAAAGAAGUGACAAGCAAACAUCCCAGGCUGGCGAAUAGUGUUAAAGUCAACCGAAAUAUGUGCGCGAUAGUGACGUUGAUUAUACCAACUUUAUCAGAAUAAAUUGAUUUCCGAACAGACAGCGAUGUGACAGUUUCGGACUGAAUGACGGAGCAGGCAAUUCAACCAACAAAGAGUAUUCCGCGGGACCCUACACCAAGGCAGACGAUACCAGUUCCAUGGGAAAAAUAAUAAAUGAAUGUUGACGGAAGGAUGUCGUCAAAAAAUGUGGAUUGCAAUUACAAAAAGAAACGGGACCACAUGAUGAGAUGUUGGCGAGCCACAGUAAGACUCCGGGAUCAGUGCGACUCUUCUAGUGUUGUGGGCAACGCUAUUGCGAUCGGUCCGUGUUGCAGUGGAGUGAAAAUCGGCUGCAGUAUCUGACCAAAAUGUUUAAUGAAUUUUUAUUCCAGAACAAAAUAAUGAUUCGUCCCUAUCUAGCCGAUAAAUUAAAUUAAUAAAGAAUCGUACCCCAAAGACAUAAUAUGAUGGAUUCAAGAUAAGAACAAUAUUAAUUGUCUGUAUCCACAAUUAUUCAAGAUUAAUCUACCCUUAUGAAGUAAUAAAUUUAAGUUGGAAAUAAAUAAUAAAGAUCAUUAUGAAA